Long non-coding RNA from Lolium rigidum, 439 nucleotides. RefSeq lists it as uncharacterized. The transcript is spliced from 4 exons. The record is from RefSeq and is a predicted model, not a curated record. NCBI's taxonomy places the organism in Eukaryota, Viridiplantae, Streptophyta, Magnoliopsida, Poales, Poaceae.
UUGCGGGUGUUUGUCAAAGGGCAGUUUACUGAUGAUGAGUGGGCAGAGGAAUAACAUAUGCCCAAAAUGACGAUGACCAUUAGGGAGAGCUCUUUGAGGUGCUCGAGGAUGAUAAGUGCCUUCCAGAAGAACAAGUUCAAGCAAUUGCUAAGCAGCUGGUAAAAGCAUUGUAUUACUUGCACUCCAAUCGUAUUAUCCACCGGGAUAUGAAACCUCAGAACAUCCUUAUUGGAAAAGGAUCUAUUGUCAAGGUACAAUUCUGAAUACUCAAGGUGAUGGUGAUCACUGAUGCCGCACCAUCUCAGUCGUCUGGGUUCAACUGAAGGUGAUGCUGAUCAGUUAUGAUGUUCAAAGUCGAAACAUGGUGAUGAUUUGACAGUAUAAAACUGAGAGUGUCACAAUUUUCGUCUCCGUUUUGCUCAGUGUGUACGACAGUAUA